Molecule: ribosomal RNA, 599 nt
Filed under: Coniochaeta sp.
Lineage: Eukaryota; Fungi; Ascomycota; Sordariomycetes; Coniochaetales; Coniochaetaceae
Description: partial large subunit ribosomal RNA
Rfam family: Eukaryotic large subunit ribosomal RNA
Source: RNAcentral
GUUGACCUCGGAUCAGGUAGGAAUACCCGCUGAACUUAAGCAUAUCAAUAAGCGGAGGAAAAGAAACCAACAGGGAUUGCCCCAGUAACGGCGAGUGAAGCGGCAACAGCUCAAAUUUGAAAUCUGGCUUUCGGGCCCGAGUUGUAAUUUGUAGAGGAUGCUUUUGGCGCGGUGCCUUCCGAGUUCCCUGGAACGGGACGCCACAGAGGGUGAGAGCCCCCUACGGUCGGACACCAAGCCUCUGUAAAGCUCCUUCGACGAGUCGAGUAGUUUGGGAAUGCUGCUCUAAAUGGGAGGUAUAUCUCUUCUAAAGCUAAAUAUAGGCCAGAGACCGAUAGCGCACAAGUAGAGUGAUCGAAAGAUGAAAAGCACUUUGAAAAGAGGGUUAAAAAGUACGUGAAAUUGUUGAAAGGGAAGGGCUUGUGACCAGACUUGUGCCGGGUUGAUCAUCCGCGGUUCUCCCGCGGUGCACUCUCCCCGGUCCAGGCCAGCGUCGGUUCUGGGAGGGGGACAAAAGCUUGGGGAACGUGGCUCCUCCGGGAGUGUUAUAGCCCCUCGCCCAAUGCCCCUGCCGGGACCGAGGUCGCGCUCUGCAAGAC